AUACGUAGGUGGCAAGCGUUGUCCGGAUUUACUGGGUGUAGAGGGCGUGUAGGCGGAGAUGCAAGUCAGGAGUGAAAUCUAGGGGCUCAACCCCUAAACUGCUUUUGAAACUGUAUCCCUUGAGUAUCGGAGAGGCAGGCGGAAAUUCUCUUGUAGCGGUGAAAUGCGUAGAUAUUAGGAGGAACACCAGUGGCGAAGGCGGCCAGCUGGACGACAACUGACGCUGAGGCGCGAAAGCGUGGGGAGCAAACAGGAUUAGAUACCCUGGUAGUCCACGCUGUAAACGAUGAAUACUAGGUGUGGGAGGACUGACCCCUUCCGUGCCGCAGUUAACACAAUAAGUAUUCCACCUGGGGAGUACGAUCGCAAGAUUGAAACUCAAAGGAAUUGACGGG
Molecule: ribosomal RNA, 395 nt
Filed under: uncultured bacterium
Lineage: Bacteria
Description: partial 16S ribosomal RNA
Rfam family: Bacterial small subunit ribosomal RNA
Source: RNAcentral